GCCUCUACCUCUCCCCACGAGAUCCCCUUCCCUCCACCUCACUGACGCUCAGUCGUCGCCGUCGCCGCACCACCACCGCAGCCACCAUCGACCCCGGCGCCUAGGAGGUUGACCAUCGGCCUCGUCGUCCUCGUCUACAUCGUCCCUGCCUCUGGAUCGAGGCCAAAACGCCGCCUCGCCGUCGCUAGCCUCGUGCAUCUCCGCCAUGGUCACCGCAUCUCGCCGUUGACCUGCGCAUCCCCGACCAACCCCGGCCGCCCCGAGCACGUCCACGAGCUCCGUGGUGAGCUCCUCUGCCGAUCCCCUCCUUUUACCCUUUCGGCUCGUCGCCGUUUGCCGUCGUCUCUGAGCUCGUCCGAGCUCCCGCAUACGCGUACGUAUGUGUGUGCGUGCGUGCUACGGCUGCUUCUGUGCGUGCACGCCGGCCUCGCCGCGGUCUUCUGCUGCUCCGCUACGGCUGCGGCUUGCUGCUCUGCUGGCCGCCACUGCUCCUGCUGCUGUGUGUUGCUGUUGCUGUGCCUCGCCCGGCUGCGCCGCCGUGCUUCUCGCUCGCUUGCUCCUGCCUGGCCGUGGCCAGCGCUCGCGCCCUUCGGCCGCUGCCUCUCGCGCGCGUCUCAGGUGCCUGUUGCCGCCGCCGCUGUUGCUACUUGUGCCGCUGCCGCUGCUUUGCUUGCUACUGCUGCUAACUGCUUACUGCCUUGCUUGUUGCUGCGUUUUUCCUGCUGCUACUGUUGGCAGUGGCAAUGGCCGCCGUGGCUUGUGCGCCCAUGCGUACUGGCCAUGGCACCACAACCGUGGCACAUCCACUAGAUGUGAGGCCGGUCCUUGCUUAGUGAGGUUAGUUUAGCUUAGGAUUAAUUUGUUGAUUACUUAGUGCAUAGAAAAUGACAUGUAGGUGCCCUGGAGAUUAAAAUAAUUAAUCAAAAUAAAUUUAGCUAUUGUCUAUGACAGCUGGGUCCCGCUAACACUGUUCACUUUGACCGAUCAACUCUGACUAGGCUGUUGACUGGUCAACUGGACUCCCUGGCCCACAUGUCAUUCCCUGUGUACACCUUUGUGUACACCGGGCUGGGUACCCAUAGCAUUUUAAUCUUUAUUUCGAAUUAAUAAUAAUUUUAGAAUAUUAUUAAAACUUUGAAAAAUCAUAUAAAAUAAACCGUAGCUCGGAUGAAAAUGUUUUAUACAUGAAAGUUGCUCAGAACGACGAGACGAAUCCGAACACACGGUCCGUUCAUCUACCACACAUCCCUAGCAUAGCAAACAUGCAACCUUUCCUCUUCGGUUCAUCUGUCUGACACACGUCCGGAACCGGGAAAACUUUCUCGGAUGUUUCCCCCUUCGCCAGUACCGCCUAGCGCCGCGUUAGAACACCUCUAGCACUGCUUUUUGUCUUUCUAUGCUUAUGUUUCCGUGUAUUUACUGUUUCUUCCCCCUCUUCUCUCCGGUAGACCCCGAGACCGUUGUUGAUGCCACUGUGAUUGACUACGUCACCGACGGCCCUUCUUCUUGUCUGAGCAACCAGGCAAGCCCCCCCCCCUUGAUCAUUCCGAUAUCGCCAAUUCCAGUCUCUCAUACUUGCAUUAGUUUUUGCUACUGUUAUUAUUUGCUCCUAUUCUGAUGCAUAGCCUACUUUUGUAACCUGCUCAUUGUACCUUACCUGCUUAUCCUAAACUGCUUAGUAAAGGUUGGUUAGUGAUCCAUCAAUGACCCCCAAUACUUGUCCUUGUUGCCCCUGCUUCAUCAUCGACGACUCGAUCAGCGUGAUCGACGACCAGAGCCCGACACCUCACAUCACAUCACGCCCCUUUUGUUGCUCGACUCUGCAGAGCUACUAUCGAGUGCCGAGGGUGAUCCCUCAUAACGCACUCCUGAUGAUAAUUCUGUAGUGUAGCUAUUCGGUCGUGGUGAUCGAGGGUGAUUUCCUCUCUCACCAUUCCCGAUACGGCUCUGUCGUUCAACACCUCAAGUGUGAACCUCGAGGGUGGUCCCUCUUACGUUCACCUUGAUGAUUACAUUGAGUGGAAUCCACCGGGGGUGAUUCCUUGGGUUUUCCCCUUGAUGUUUGGACACACGGUUACCUUGACUUUACUUGAGACCUUGGUGAAAGUCGGGCAGGCCCGGAGAGCACCCGCAAGAUAAUGACGUGGCACGGCCGGGCAUUCUAGGCCCUUGUCGUAAGUCCACGAGACAGGGCGACGGGGUCACUUUCAAUCGUGAGUCUUUGCUCGUCUCCGCAAGCUAAUAAUACACUAUGGUUUGGGUAUUUGUUCUGAGUUGGCCUCUGGCUUUUACGCACUAACCACCAUGCGAGAAUAGAUAUGAGCCUCGACGUCGCAGUAUCAGCCGAAGCUUUGUUAGACGUCCAGUUCAGCAGUGCGGCACGGUCGGAUCCUGCUGGCCAUCCGAGGUGGUUCUGGUAUUCACCCUGCGCGCAACGACCCGGAGUGCUGCGGGCGAUAGGCCCAAGACCCCGGAGCGCUUAGGAUGUAGACCGGCGGGGACCUCUCUGCUGAGCCUAGGUAGGGCUGUGACGUGUUGAUCUUCCGAGGCCGGGCAUUGACCCCAGAAAGGUGUGUCUGGCCAGAGUGAUCGAGCGUGUUGGGUAACGUGAUGCACCCCUGCAGGGAAGUUAUAUAUUCGAAUACCGUGUCCACGGUAAUGGACGUUCAGACUUAUAUCCCGAUCUUAUACAACUACAAAUGGAUACUUGAGAUAUGUGGCUCCGGGAUUGCUUUCUCGCAGGGAGUCGAGGAAGGAUCUCUGGGCAUUAAUGUUACAACAUGCUUGUUAAUUAUAAACUACUAUUCUUUACUCUUCUACAUGCUGCAAGAUCCUCGGAGCUGCGUGAAGAUGCUAGUCUUCGAUAGGCUAGGUCUUCCCCCUUAUUCUGGCAUUCUGCAGCUCAGUCCACAUAUGCAAACCUUCCAUUUGAUACCAGUGCAUACUUAGUAUAGAUCUGAUGCUUGCAAGUACUUUGGAUGAGUACUCACGGUUGCUUUGUUACCCCUUUUCCCCCUUCUUUCUUCUUUCCGGUUGAUGCAACCAGAUGGUGGAUCCCUGGAGCCAGAUGCCAUCGCCGAUGGAUGCUGCUACGUGAAGACCGCCGACGACCAGGAGUAGUUAG
This 3124-nucleotide long non-coding RNA is filed under the name Triticum aestivum (bread wheat). RNAcentral's name for it is "long non-coding RNA (TAES_LNC003334)". The record is from RNAcentral. Lineage: Eukaryota; Viridiplantae; Streptophyta; Magnoliopsida; Poales; Poaceae.